UGCUUAAUCGUUCAGUGAUUCA
RNAcentral lists this microRNA (22 nucleotides) under Ascaris suum (pig roundworm). Its description in RNAcentral is "asu-miR-2b-5p". Its record names the gene asu-miR-2b-5p. Lineage: Eukaryota; Metazoa; Nematoda; Chromadorea; Rhabditida; Ascarididae. The record is from miRBase by way of RNAcentral.